Molecule: ribosomal RNA, 484 nt
Filed under: uncultured bacterium
Lineage: Bacteria
Description: partial 16S ribosomal RNA
Rfam family: Bacterial small subunit ribosomal RNA
Source: RNAcentral
AUUGAACGCUGGCGGCAGGCCUAACACAUGCAAGUCGAGCGGAUGAAGGGAGCUUGCUCCUGGAUUCAGCGGCGGACGGGUGAGUAAUGCCUAGGAAUCUGCCUGGUCGUGGGGGAUAACGUCCGGAAACGGGCGCUAAUACCGCAUACGUCCUGAGGGAGAAAGUGGGGGAUCUUCGGACCUCACGCUAUCAGAUGAGCCUAGGUCGGAUUAGCUAGUUGGUGGGGUAAAGGCCUACCAAGGCGACGAUCCGUAACUGGUCUGAGAGGAUGAUCAGUCACACUGGAACUGAGACACGGUCCAGACUCCUACGGGAGGCAGCAGUGGGGAAUAUUGGACAAUGGGCGAAAGCCUGAUCCAGCCAUGCCGCGUGUGUGAAGGAGGUCUUCGGAUUGUAAAGCACUUUAAGUUGGGAGGAAGGGCAGUAAGUUAAUACCUUGCUGUUUUGACGUUACCAACAGAAUAAGCACCGGCUAACUUCGUG